RNAcentral lists this ribosomal RNA (406 nucleotides) under uncultured bacterium. RNAcentral describes it as "partial 16S ribosomal RNA". It matches the Rfam family "Bacterial small subunit ribosomal RNA", at positions 30 to 526 of the family's 1533-position model. The record is from RNAcentral.
AUUGAACGCUGGCGGCAGGCCUAACACAUGCAAGUCGAACGCGUGGCGGACGGGUGAGUAAUGUCUGGGACACUGCCUGAUGGCGGGGGAUAACUACUGGAAACGGUAGCUAAUACCGCAUACCAUCAGAUGUGCCCAGAUGUGAUUAGUUCGUUGGUGGGGUCACGGCUCACCAAGGCGACGAUCCCUAGCUGGUCUGAGAGGAUGACCAGCCACACUGGAACGGAAACACGGUCCAGACUUCUACGGGACGCAGCAGUGGAGAAUAUUGCACAAUGGGCGCAAGCCUGAUGCAGCCAUGCCGCAUGUAUGAAGAAGGCCUUCGGGUUUUAAAGUACUUUCAGCGGUGAGGCGUUACCCGCAGAAGAAGCACCGGAUAACUCCGUGCCAGCAGCCGCGGUAAUAC